RNAcentral lists this ribosomal RNA (701 nucleotides) under uncultured bacterium. RNAcentral describes it as "bacterial SSU rRNA". It matches the Rfam family "Bacterial small subunit ribosomal RNA", at positions 60 to 721 of the family's 1533-position model. The record is from RNAcentral.
AGUCGAGCGAGCUUGCCUAGAUGAAUUUGGUGCUUGCACCAGAUGAAACUAGAUACAAGCGAGCGGCGGACGGGUGAGUAACACGUGGGUAACCUGCCCAAGAGACUGGGAUAACACCUGGAAACAGAUGCUAAUACCGGAUAACAACACUAGACGCAUGUCUAGAGUUUAAAAGAUGGUUCUGCUAUCACUCUUGGAUGGACCUGCGGUGCAUUAGCUAGUUGGUAAGGUAACGGCUUACCAAGGCAAUGAUGCAUAGCCGAGUUGAGAGACUGAUCGGCCACAUUGGGACUGAGACACGGCCCAAACUCCUACGGGAGGCAGCAGUAGGGAAUCUUCCACAAUGGACGCAAGUCUGAUGGAGCAACGCCGCGUGAGUGAAGAAGGGUUUCGGCUCGUAAAGCUCUGUUGGUAGUGAAGAAAGAUAGAGGUAGUAACUGGCCUUUAUUUGACGGUAAUUACUUAGAAAGUCACGGCUAACUACGUGCCAGCAGCCGCGGUAAUACGUAGGUGGCAAGCGUUGUCCGGAUUUAUUGGGCGUAAAGCGAGUGCAGGCGGUUCAAUAAGUCUGAUGUGAAAGCCUUCGGCUCAACCGGAGAAUUGCAUCAGAAACUGUUGAACUUGAGUGCAGAAGAGGAGAGUGGAACUCCAUGUGUAGCGGUGGAAUGCGUAGAUAUAUGGAAGAACACCAGUGGCGAAGG